Aegilops tauschii subsp. strangulata is the source of this 1571-nucleotide long non-coding RNA. RefSeq lists it as uncharacterized. The record is from RefSeq and is a predicted model, not a curated record. NCBI's taxonomy places the organism in Eukaryota, Viridiplantae, Streptophyta, Magnoliopsida, Poales, Poaceae.
AACUCCGGUGGGUGGCGGCACUCCAUGGCCGAGGCGCUCAGGCCAUGGCGGGGCAGCGGUGCAGUCUCGGUGGACCUUUGCAACAACGUCCUUGUUGCAAAGCCCCGGAUCGCAACAAACUAGCUGUUGCAAAAGGUCCUCAGCAAGGUUUUGGUUACUGAAUGAGGCAUUUUUAUCGAGGGGUACUGGUAAACGUGGUUACCAAAGUUACCGAGAAAUACCGAGAAUAUUUCAAACAAAUUUUAUAGUUGAAUUUUGAAUUCAAAUAAGUAAAUUAACGAACUUUUGGACCAAAGAUACCUCUCAAAACAAGAACUAGGUUGCUACCAACACACCAGAACCAACUCUCGUGGCAUUAAUUACAUCCUACGUACUUUACUAUAAAUGAGUGCUUAAAUUCAAAAAAAAUCAGAAAAAUGGUAUUUUUUUGCUCGGUAUAUGGAUUUACCGAGGGGCACGGAAAUACGCGGUAACCAUGGGAAAUCUCGAAAUUUUGACCGGUAACCAAAACCUUGGUACUCAGUUGGCUCGGACGGUAGAUCAGACGACUGUUCCGGGUGGCAUCCGACGGCUGCCGAGGCGGAUGAUUUAAUUGUUUUAUCACCCGACGAACGUGUAGCACUGCCCUUUUUUUUGAAAUAUUAAUGUAUUAAAGUUCAAAGUAUAUGUAUUUAGAAUAUUUUGAAAUAUAAAUGGAAAAAUAGAAAAAAAACGCAAGGCUCAUAAAAAAGGGACAUAACACAAAAUAUCCCUACUGGGCCGGCAAGUUGAAGGCUGCCCUGAGGUGGGCACGCCGGACCAGACUCACAUACUCAUAUGGGUUACCUCUAAAGAAAAGCAUAGUCACAUCAGCUGGGCUGUAAAUAACGCAGUUAUUUUUUACUUAUGAAUCGUCAAUAACCUGCUAUAAAUAACAUAUGACUAAAUUUAGCUAUGAUAUAAGCCCUAAUUUAGUAUAAACCAAUUACUUCCAAUAUACCGUCACCUAAAAAAGAACUUCCAACAUACCAAAGAAUAAGAACCAAUUAUUAGAAAGAUAUCCAAAUGAUAUACUUUUGUAUGCAUUAACAACUAUCCUUUUAAUUUGUUACAGACUCGUCUCACUAUAUAAACACUAGCAAAAGGGACGAAGCUACAAGAAAGCAGGAGCAGAACAAUAGCCAGCUACAAAUGAUGGGGCUUAUGAAUAACACCAGGGUGCUGUGUUGGAUAGCUAUUAUUCUUAUGUCCAUCACUUCCUUGUCCUGCCAUGCUGCUGCGAGGAGCACACAUACGAUGGACUUUGGACCUAUUCUUGGGUGUGUAAAGACGGAAACAAAAUGUUCGGUCGUUGGGUGCACGAAGAUAUGUUCCGACCUUGGCUGGAAUACCCACAGAUGCUAUUGUGCCGAUGCUGGCAGUUGCUGCCACUAUGCGGAUGGAAGGCCAUUAAAUUGAUAGUAUAAUGUAUUGUCAUGAGCUCUUCUUUUACAAGGGUGAAUGUCAAUCAUCUAUGCGACUACCGAUCAUAGAUUUAAUAAACUUCUAAACUAUGCAGUUGGAUUAUAUUUAUGAAGUGACUAUUUGAGUGA